Xiphophorus maculatus (southern platyfish) is the source of this 42-nucleotide small nucleolar RNA. NCBI's taxonomy places the organism in Eukaryota, Metazoa, Chordata, Actinopteri, Cyprinodontiformes, Poeciliidae. The record is from Ensembl.
UGGCUCUGAAUGAUGAGUAACCAAUUACCAUCUUUCGGCUGA